Molecule: ribosomal RNA, 301 nt
Filed under: uncultured bacterium
Lineage: Bacteria
Description: partial 16S ribosomal RNA
Rfam family: Bacterial small subunit ribosomal RNA
Source: RNAcentral
CAGUAGCCACGGGAACACGAAGGGGGCUAGCGUUGCUCGGAAUGACUGGGCGUAAAGGGCGCGUAGGCUGUCUGUACAAUCGGGUGUGAAAUUCCUGGGCUUAACCUGGGGGCUGCACCCGAUACGUGCAGGCUUGAGUGCGGAAGAGGGUCGUGGAAUUCCCAGUGUAGAGGUGAAAUUCGUAGAGAUCGGGAGGAACAUCAGUGGCGAAGGCGGCCAUCUGGGACAACACUGACGCUGAGGCACGAAAGCGUGGGUAGCAAACAGGAUUAGAUACCCCAGUAGUCCCUGUCUCUUAUAC